GUCAGGAUGGACGAGGGGUUUAAGGCGCUGCAAUCAGAUCGUAAUCCAAUUGCGUGGGCGUUGGUUCGAAUCCCACUUCUGACA
Molecule: non-coding RNA, 84 nt
Organism: Trichonephila clavipes
Lineage: Eukaryota; Metazoa; Arthropoda; Arachnida; Araneae; Nephilidae
Source: the annotation of a GenBank genome assembly